Molecule: non-coding RNA, 22 nt
Filed under: Arabidopsis thaliana (thale cress)
Lineage: Eukaryota; Viridiplantae; Streptophyta; Magnoliopsida; Brassicales; Brassicaceae
Source: RNAcentral
UGGUGUUGCAGUUGCUUCGUUG